GCCAGGCACAUUGGCGCAUGCCUGUAAUCCCAGCGGCUCAGGAGGCUGAGGCAGGAGAAUCACGAGUUCAAAGCCAGCCUCAGCAAUUUAGCAAGGCCCUAAGAAACUCAACGAGACCCUGUCUCUA
RNAcentral lists this small RNA (127 nucleotides) under Marmota monax (woodchuck). Lineage: Eukaryota; Metazoa; Chordata; Mammalia; Rodentia; Sciuridae. The record is from RNAcentral.